UGGGGAAUUUUCCGCAAUGGGCGAAAGCCUGACGGAGCAAUACCGCGUGAGGGAAGACUGCCUAUGGGUUGUAAACCUCUUUUCUCAGGGAGGAAAUCAAUGACGUUACCUGAGGAAUAAGCAUCGGCUAACUCCGUGCCAGCAGCCGCGGUAAGACGGAGGAUGCAAGUGUUAUCCGGAAUCACUGGGCGUAAAGCGUCUGUAGGUGGCUUAACAAGUCAACUGUUAAAUCUUGAAGCUCAACUUCGAAAUCGCAGUCGAAACUGUUAGGCUAGAGUAUAGUAGGGGUAAAGGGAAUUUCCAGUGGAGCGGUGAAAUGCGUAGAGAUUGGAAAGAACACCGAUGGCGAA
Molecule: ribosomal RNA, 350 nt
Filed under: uncultured bacterium
Lineage: Bacteria
Description: bacterial SSU rRNA
Rfam family: Bacterial small subunit ribosomal RNA
Source: RNAcentral